Molecule: non-coding RNA, 3377 nt
Organism: Podarcis lilfordi (Lilford's wall lizard)
Lineage: Eukaryota; Metazoa; Chordata; Lepidosauria; Squamata; Lacertidae
Source: the annotation of a GenBank genome assembly
UCCCUUCUCCAUCCUCCUGACUGACAGCUGAGGAGCCGAGAGAGGGGAAGAGGCGCCACCAUUUCUCUCUCUCUCUGCCAGGUGACAAAUUUGCUGGAUGGAUCUCGCACUUCCCAGGGUGAGUGGUGUUUCCAAAUCCAACGACCAGGGAAGAGCUUUCUGUGUCAGGCCAGUGGCCCAUUGAGGCCAGCAUCCUGCUCUCACUGUGGCCCAAAUGACCCAAACAGGCGGCUCCUGCAAGCAGCUCCCAAGGGCAGCAGCGACUCUCCUCUGGUGCCGUUUCCAGCAACUGGCACUCAGAAGCAUAGCUGCCUCCAACUAUGGAGGCAAAGGUAUAGCAAUAAUAAUAAUAAUAAUAAUAAUAAUAUAUUAUUUGUACCCCUCCCAUCUGGCUGGGUUUCCCCAGCCACUCUGGGCGGCUUCCAACAAAGAUUUAAAAUACAUCAAAAUGUCACACAUUAAAAGCUUCCCUGAACAGGGCUGCCUUCAGAUGUCUUCUAAAAGUCUGGUAGUUGUUUAUUUCCUUGACAUCUGGUGGGAGGGCAUUCCACAGGGCGGGUGCCACCACAGAGAAGGCCCUCUGCCUGGUUCCCUGUAGCUUUGCUUCUCGCAGGGAGGGAACCGCCAGAAGGCCCUUGGCUAAUAGCCCCCAGUAGCCCUCCCUUCAACAAGUUUGCCCACUUCUCUUUCAAAGCUACCCAAGCUGGUGGCCACCCCUGCCUCAUGCCUCCUGCAGGAGCAAGUUCCAUAGGUUAACCCCAUGCCAAGUGAAGAAGGACUUAGAAUCAUAAAGCUGCAGAGCUGGAGGAGACCCCCGAUGGUCAUCUAGUCCAACCCCAUGCGGUGCAGGUCUUUGGGUAUGCUGCCCCAGUCACCACGUUCUCCCUUUGUUUCUUUUUCAGCCCAGACAUGUGACCUCCCCUGCUGGUUCUUCCACCACCUGCUCCAGCCUCCACCCUACCUUUGAGUUCACCUGGUCCUGUGCCCAGGAGUAGUAUUUUGGGCGUUACCUAUGGCUCACAGACACCCUCCGCAAUGCUCCUGCCAGCAUCCGAGUGUCCCAUACCGCCCGCGAGCACCGUAUCCCAGCUACCCUCCAGGACCGUAUUUGAGAUCUUGCCCGUCCUGCCCGAGGUGCAAUGCGUAUGGCUACAGAGGCUACCCACCUGGGCCUGCGUACCCACAGCACAGGGGUGAAGACUGCUUCACCUGCUGCCUGAAAGCUUGUGCUGCCAUCUUUUGCUGCUGCUGCGUUAUAGACAUGGUAACUUACGACUGCGACUGCAACUACGGCUGAGCACCCCAAGACCCUCUCAAUGCCUCUGGCAUGGAUUGCUGUGUAGCCUCUUCUUCUUCCUCUCCGCCUCCUCCACAGCUUCCAAGCACUGCAAUAAAUGCUGUGACCUGCGCAGGCAACAGGGACGCAAGUCUGCCGCAGAGAUGGCACCAUGGUUUCUUUCUUUGUUUUGUUUAAAGCAUUUGCCACCAAAGCUCCCAGUGUUUUAAAAAGAAUGGUGUGGAUCGUGUCCUGCUAAAUCUUCUGGGUCUGGAAGCAGCUGUCAGGGCUGGAGUCAGAUGCAGGCCAGCACGGAAAGCAUCAGGCUUUGUUGUCGGUGAAGUUAAUUCUUUAUUCAAGUAAACGGCAUACAACUCAGCAACCCUCCCCAUUAGUCCUUGCCCCAUGGAGCCGUUGCCAGGACUGAAGGUCCCUGCUCUCCACCCUCUCUAAGGCUUCUCCUCUCCCAGAUGUUUCCCAAGCAGUCUGCGCACCUCUGGCCUCUCUUUUGCCCUCCUCAUUAUUCUGAGCUUUCUAGGAGACCAGGGCACAGGGGAGCUUGUCACACCAAGAAGGGGAGACUCCCUUGCUUCUUCAGCAGCCUCUUGACCCCUCCCUCCUCUGCGUCAGCCUCAGAGUCUGAACUGCUCCCUGUCGCAGACUCCUCCUGCUCACUACACCCUGUUGCUCCUUCAGCAUCCAGCAUCUUCUCCCAAUCCACUCCCUCUGACCUCUCCUUGGUGUCCCACCACCAAUUGCCUGGCUCUGAGCCUUCCUCCUCGGGGGGUUCCCACCACUUGUCUGUGUCCAGCCAGUUCCUGACAGCAGCCUUCAUUUCUUUCUUGACCCAUCUCUUUGUAGAACAGCCUCCAGGUGUCUCUGACUGCAAAGCUCCUCUCUGUUCCACUAGCCCCAGCCAGUAGAGACGGGGGGAAAUGCAAUUCAGUUUGCAGUUCAAGGCAGGCCUACCAAAUCCACACUUCCUGCACCAAUGCAUGAACUGAAACCCAGCUCUCCUUUAAAAUCCACACUUCUCUUGGCGCUCUUCUGCCCCGUGCUCCUCUGCCUUGGCCAGAGGCUCUUAUGCAAAAUUAAAUGCAUAUAUAUUCCUGCGAGUAACAGUACAAGUUUGGCAGCAAACACAGAGUUCAGGAGCCACAGUUCAGGAAUCAGACAAGACAUUCGAGACUGGAGGGAAGUAGCGAAGAUGUCCCAACAGUUUCUGCACCCUGCCCACCAAGCUUUGAAAGAUGAGGUGCGACACUCUCACUCCUGAGGCUCGCUCGCUUUGAGAGAAUGUCAGAAUUGCAAGCAAGUGCUCCUCCAGGAUGUGCCGGUCUGCUCCCAAUUCUUCAUCCUACUGUUAGGACCCUGAUCAAGCGCAGACUUGAUUUGCAUGGCUAUUUGGCUGCUCACCCCACAGCCUCCCCUCCCCUGAAAUGCUCUGUUCUGUCAGGAGGUUGUGGGCAGAACUGAACCCCAGAAGAAUAGAAUAGUUGGAAGGGUCUCCAUGGGUCACCUCGUCCCAUGCCAUUCAAAGUGGUGGUCUGCGGACCAGCAGCAGUCUGCAAACCUUCAGCUGCUAGACCCUGACAUCUCUACCACAUCCCAGGUUGCAUGGAAGAAGAAGAAGAGUUUGGAUUUGAUAUCCCGCUUUAUCACUACCCUAAGGAGUCUCAAAGCGGCUAACAUUCUCCUUUCCCUUCCACCCCCACAACAAACACUCUGUGAGGCUGAGAGACUAGUCCAAGGACCAGAAGUGUGACUAGCCCAAGGUCACCCAGCAGCUGCAGGUGGAGGAGCGAAGACGGGAACCCCUUUCACCAGAUUACGAGUCUACCGCUCUUAACCACUACACCACACUGGCUCUCAUCACACUGGAACACAUCAGGGACCAAAUAUAGUACACCGGGGUGGGUGGGAAUUACUUGUCCAUCACAUAAGCAUUUCUGUAGUCCAAACCCCUGCAGUGCAGGAAUCACCGCUGAAGAGUCCCUGGCAGGCGGCCACCCAACCUCCAAUGAGGGAGAGUCCACCAGCCUCCAAGGGAGUCCCUUCCACUGUCAAGCAGCUGUUACCAUCAGGAAUUUCUUCCUAAUGU